RNAcentral lists this transfer RNA (85 nucleotides) under Planctomycetaceae bacterium. RNAcentral's name for it is "tRNA-Ser". It matches the Rfam family "tRNA". Rfam says of the family: Transfer RNA (tRNA) molecules are approximately 80 nucleotides in length. Lineage: Bacteria; Pseudomonadati; Planctomycetota; Planctomycetia; Planctomycetales; Planctomycetaceae. The record is from RNAcentral.
GGAUGGGUGCCCGAGUGGUUUAAGGGACCGGUCUUGAAAACCGGCGAGUCGUCAGGCUCCGUGGGUUCGAAUCCCUCCCCAUCCG